UACGAAGGGGGCUAGCGUUGCUCGGAAUCACUGGGCGUAAAGGGUGCGUAGGCGGGUUUUUAAGUCAGGGGUGAAAUCCUGGAGCUCAACUCCAGAACUGCCUUUGAUACUGAAGAUCUUGAGUCCGGGAGAGGUGGGUGGAACUGCGAGUGUAGAGGUGAAAUUCGUAGAUAUUCGCAAGAACACCAGUGGCGAAGGCGGCUCACUGGCCCGAUACUGACGCUGAGGCACGAAAGCGUGGGGAGCAAACAGG
Molecule: ribosomal RNA, 253 nt
Filed under: uncultured bacterium
Lineage: Bacteria
Description: partial 16S ribosomal RNA
Rfam family: Bacterial small subunit ribosomal RNA
Source: RNAcentral